Molecule: long non-coding RNA, 566 nt
Filed under: Homo sapiens (human)
Lineage: Eukaryota; Metazoa; Chordata; Mammalia; Primates; Hominidae
Description: non-protein coding LINC01676:36
Source: RNAcentral
GUUCACCACUUUGUGUGUCCAAGGACCACCUACUUUUUACAUGUGACAAGAACUACCCACCUCCACUCUUCAGGAUAGAACAUGCUGAAGAAAAGAGUUGCAAUGAGAAAAUAUAUGGGAACAAAAUACCUAUGCAAUGCAGAAGUCUGCAUAACUGAACCACUCAGAGGAAAAAGUUUCCCUCCCAGGCUGGAGUACAAUGGCGCGACCUCGGCUCACUGCAACUUCCACCUCCCAGUUCAAGCAAUUCUCCCACCUCAGCUUCCUUAGUAGCUGGGAUUACAAGUGCCUGACACCAGGCCAAGCUAUUUUUGUAUUUUUAGUAGAGACGGGGUUUCACCAUUUUGACCAGGCUGGUCUCAAACUCCUGACCUCAGUCCAUCGGUCCACCUCGGCCUCCCAAAGUGCUGGGAUUGCAGGCAUGAGCCACCGCUCCUGGCCUCAAGUUUAAUUCUUAAAUUGCCAUUUCAGGACACCUCCUACAUCUGAGGAAAUAUGCAUUGAUCUUGCAGUACUUUUCUCCUCCAAAUAAAAGUCAGUAUGAUAACAACUACACUAUCAGAAGU